RNAcentral lists this transfer RNA (61 nucleotides) under Deinococcus deserti. RNAcentral's name for it is "tRNA-Xxx". It matches the Rfam family "tRNA". From Rfam's summary of the family: Transfer RNA (tRNA) molecules are approximately 80 nucleotides in length. Their secondary structure includes four short double-helical elements and three loops (D, anti-codon, and T loops). Further hydrogen bonds mediate the characteristic L-shaped molecular structure. tRNAs have two regions of fundamental functional importance: the anti-codon, which is responsible for specific mRNA codon recognition, and the 3' end, to which the tRNAs corresponding amino acid is attached (by aminoacyl-tRNA synthetases). tRNAs cope with the degeneracy of the genetic code in two manners: having more than one tRNA (with a specific anti-codon) for a particular amino acid; and 'wobble' base-pairing, i.e. permitting non-standard base-pairing at the 3rd anti-codon position. Lineage: Bacteria; Thermotogati; Deinococcota; Deinococci; Deinococcales; Deinococcaceae. RNAcentral also lists the same sequence under 1 other name. The record is from RNAcentral.
UUGCUUCGCAGGCUGACUCUUAAUCAGCGGGUUGUAGGUUCGAUUCCUACACGAUCCACCA